This 298-nucleotide small RNA is filed under the name Pan troglodytes (chimpanzee). RNAcentral's name for it is "retained intron". The record is from RNAcentral. Lineage: Eukaryota; Metazoa; Chordata; Mammalia; Primates; Hominidae.
AUUCUUAAAGGCGCCCGAGUGAAGGCGACAGGCCGCUGACGGCCGGAAGGAAAAUGAGUGAGUCUUUGGUUGUUUGUGAUGUUGCCGAAGAUUUAGUGGAAAAGCUGAGAAAGUUUCGUUUUCGCAAAGAAACGAACAAUGCUGCUAUUAUAAUGAAGAUUGACAAGGAUAAACGCCUGGUGGUACUGGAUGAGGAGCUUGAGGUUUGUUCAAUGAACUAAAUACAAUUUUAUAGGCAUUUCACCAGAUGAACUUAAAGAUGAACUACCUGAACGACAACCUCGAUAUCCUUUUCUUA